AGAAAAAUAAUUAAAAUGGCCUUAUUACAACCCAAAACCAAAUAAUAAUAUUAAUUCAGAUAAAACUUAUAAAAAAAUAAACCGGUUACUUCUUGCAAUUAAAAGAAACAGAAACAGUAGUGUGGCCAUCUCCGAGUCCUUCGCAGCUCCAAACCAUCUAAGCUUAGGGAUUACCUGCACAGUUAGAAACGGGGUGAGUUUACAAAAACUCAAUGUGUAAUCCCCAACAACAAACAAACAGUGAAUAACAUAGUGUCAGUACAAUCUGGGCCAAAGCCUUAUUCAGUAACAGUACAGUCUGGGCCUUAGCCCUUAAACAGUAGCAAUAUGGGCCUAAGCCCCAAUUCAGUCUCGAUAUAUACUGGGCCGAAGCCUUUUCAUAAAUCAUAUCACUAGGCCGAAGCCUUUUCAUAAAUCAUAUCAUUGGCCGAAGCCUUUACUGUAAGCGGUAUGGCCCAUAGGCCCAUUUCAAUAUCACAUGUAAUAUCAAUGAAUGUAUGCAAGCCCAUUUGGGGAGACUACUCAACUCACCAUCCGCUACUCUCCACUCGUACCAACCAACACACCAUGUGGGGAAUAACUCAACCCACCCAACCAAACUCUCCACUGGUAGCAUAGCUGCUUUAUCAUAUAACUGGAGGCCUAGCCUCUUUUAAUAACUGGGGCAAAGCCCUUUUUGAUAAACUGGGGCAAAGCUCGUUUCGGUAAACUGGGGCAUAGCCCUUUUAGCACUUCCUCCAUUUAUAAAACCCAACCCAUGCAACAUGUCAUGUAUACAGAAUGUCAUGCCUGUAUUUGAAUCAAACAAUCACAGUCAAGUCAUUCAUAUCACCAACAUAUAUUCACAAUCAAAUCCAUCCACCACACAGUCCAAGUCAGACACUUGCCCACAAGGGCAAAACAGUCAUUUUUCAUAUUAUAAGGGUAAUUUCGUAAUUUUACCAAAUAUUAGGGUUUUCCAUGUUCAUUAACAAUUAUCAAUAUUUUUGAGUGUUUAAACAAUGAUCUUUAACCCACUUUAUGAAAUUUGGGCUUUUGGGCCCAAUACCCCUAAUGGGCCCUACGAAUGCUGAUUUAGCCCACUAAGCCUGCUUAAUCCAAAUUUUACAACAGUACUAACCGUGUUAACAUGCAACUUUUCCAGAUUCCAUUUUCUAUCAGUUUUACCCAAAUGGGCCCGAAAGCCCAUUUGGCCCAAUUCCUGCCCAUUAAGGCCCAACUUACCAUUGUGCAAAAAAUUGAGUUCUUACCCGUUCCAUCGGUCCAAACACCAAUCUUAUUGUAUUUAUCGCAUUUAUACCCACACGCAACAUUACAAGUUCCCGAAAUGUCGGUAUUUUAGCAUUUUGGCUUCUCAGCAGAUAUUAAUCUAAGCUACUACGAGGGUUAGUACACACCUGUUAUGGGUUGAAGUUGAAACGUUUCCAUAAUCAAUCACCUACGAUAACCACCACCUGUCACUCAAACUUAACUAAUCCAAUAUCAAUAUAUGUAAAUCCUAAGCACAUCAGUCAUACGGAACAUAAGGGCAUAUUCGUCAUUUUACCAUACAAGGGUAUUACGGUCACUUUACCCUCAGGGGCUUUACGGUCUUUUUACCUAUUAGGGGUAUUUUAGUCAUUUCAUCCUACAAGGGUGUUUUCGUAAAUCUACAAACCAAGGGUACUUCAGUAAUUUUGUAAACCAAUGGUAUUUCUAUAAUUUUUUAAAGUCAAGGGUAUUUCUGUAAUUUUGUAAAUCAGGGGUAUUUUGGUAAUUUUACAAAUUGAGGGUAUUUCGGUAAUUUCACAAACCAGUGGUAUUUUGGUAAUUUUACAAACUAGGGGUAUUUUGGCAAUUUUGUAAACCAAGGGUAUUUUAGUAAUCUUGUAAAUAGAGGGUAAAACGAUAAUUCUAUAAAUCGAGGGUAAAACGGUAAAUCUGUAAAUUAAGGGUAAAAUGGUAAUUCUAUAAAUCGAGGGUAAAACGAUAAUUCUAUAAAUUGAGGGUAAAACGGUAAUUCUGUAAAUCGAGGGUACUUUGAUAAUUUUACAAAUUGAGGACAUUUUAGUAAUUUGGUAAAUUAAAAUAUUCUAAAUAGGGAUAACAAUACGAAUGAGCCUAAAGCCUAUUCUCGGCCCAAAUGGGCCCACACGCUCGUGUGGCCCUUUUAGCCCAAAUCUAGCCACAAAUAUGAGAUUUACCUAACCUAGUCCAAUAUUUACUACACAAUCAAACAAACUUAUCCAAUUAGGCCCGUAGGCCCAUUGGGCCCACAUGGCCCUACGUAGCCAUCCUACAGCUAGAGUAGUGAGAAAUACACACCUGAUAGGAGACUGGAGUUAAUCCACACUCUGAGCACUCUUAGCCGACGCCCAACCCAAACGAGCAUGCCAUACAGCGAAAGGG
RNAcentral lists this long non-coding RNA (2388 nucleotides) under Gossypium barbadense (sea-island cotton). RNAcentral's name for it is "long non-coding RNA (GBAR_LNC002440)". Lineage: Eukaryota; Viridiplantae; Streptophyta; Magnoliopsida; Malvales; Malvaceae. The record is from RNAcentral.